RNAcentral lists this ribosomal RNA (497 nucleotides) under uncultured bacterium. Its description in RNAcentral is "partial 16S ribosomal RNA". It matches the Rfam family "Bacterial small subunit ribosomal RNA", at positions 28 to 507 of the family's 1533-position model. The record is from RNAcentral.
GAUGAACGCUGGCGGCGUGCCUAAUACAUGCAAGUCGAACGAACAGACGAUGAUCUUGCUGCUCUGACGUUUGGCGCGCACGGGUGAGUAACACGUGUAUAACCUACCUAUAUUACUGGGAUAUCCUCGGGAAACCGGCGCUAAUACCGUAUAAUAUAUUGCACCGCAUUGUUCAAUAGUGAGAGACGGCUUUUCUGUCUCUUAUAGAUGGAUCUGGGCCGGAUGAGCUAGUUGGUGGGGUAACGGGCUACCAAGGCAACGAUGCGUAGCCGAGCUGUGAGGCGGGUCGGCGACCUUGGAAGGGGACCAGCGUCCAGGCGCCUACGGGAGGCACCAGUAGGGAAUCUGCCGCAAUGGGCGAAAGCCUGACGGAGCAAGGCCGAGUGAGAGAUGACGGUCUUCGGAGCGUAAAACUGGGUUAUGAGGUGAGAACCACUGUGGAAGUAAACAUGCACGGAGUGACGGUACCUAAUAAGAAAGCAACGGCUAACUACGUG